This is a non-coding RNA of Pelobates cultripes (western spadefoot toad), 347 nucleotides long. Lineage: Eukaryota; Metazoa; Chordata; Amphibia; Anura; Pelobatidae. The record is from the annotation of a GenBank genome assembly.
GCAAUCUCUAAAUUGAGAGUUGGCUCAGGUCCUCGAACUGAUGGCCUAGUUAAUUAAUUUUAUUCACUUUGUCAAGAGGAGAUCUCCAGCUAUCUGUGUCAAAAUUUAAACGAAAUUAAGGAGGCAGGUCAAGCACAUCCAGAAAUGUUGGAAGCUCAAAUAACAAUCCCCAAAACAAACAAUCCAACCCCUGAAUUUAGGGACUUUAGACCUAUUUCCCUACUAAACGUGGAUAUUAAGAUCUAUGCUAAAAUUUUAGUGGAAAGAUUGAAUCAAUACAUCCACAAUCUGAUCAAUUUUGAUCAAACAGGUUUUAUCCAGGAGAGACAGGGUUCAGAUAACAUCAG